This 324-nucleotide ribosomal RNA is filed under the name Triticum aestivum (bread wheat). Its description in RNAcentral is "partial small subunit ribosomal RNA". Lineage: Eukaryota; Viridiplantae; Streptophyta; Magnoliopsida; Poales; Poaceae. The record is from RNAcentral.
AUGAAGAGGGUUGUAGACAUUGUUUCUCUUUUCCAGAGGGAAGCUAUGAAAAUAGGUAAGAAGAAGAAGGCGGAGAAUAUGCCGGAUGUGGCUGAAGAGCAAACCGGCGAAGUUGUGUGUAUGCCGGUUGUGAUUGAAGAGCAAACUGAAGAACCAAUAUUGUCUAUGUCAAAUGUGACCACAGAGCAAACUGAAGAUGUGUCAUCGCCGUAUCGUCAAGAGCUUGAAAAACGGUUUGAUGAGAUCAAUAUGGAAUUGCUAUCUUGUAUGUCUGCUUUGAAUCCUGCCAACUCAUUUGCUGCUUUUGAUGCACAAAAGGUAUGA